AGCAACAUGCUUUCGUAGUCAAGGCCAAGCAUUCAACUUUUCCAAAAUAAUCUUCCAUGCACGUUUCAGGAAAUUUAAGAGGUCGAUCGUGUAGAAGAAACUUUGUUUUUCAAAAAACCAAAACAAAACCGACCACCUCAUUCACUGUUGCUAUAUGUGAAGUCUAUAAAGGUCACCCAUUACCCCAUCUAUUUUGAUACAGAACCAUUUCCUCCUUGUUCAUCUCUCCCAACUCCUUUUCUAGCUCAUUUUUGUUUUUGCGACAAAAUUAACCUCUAAACUCAACCAAUCAUGUUCAUCAAAUACUUAAAUCUUAUUAGUGCCCAUCUCAGAUGGGCAUUUAAUUUCUUGUGUUACUAUCCGUUCAGCUUCCAAGAACAUGAAUUGUUUGCUGUGACUGCAAUUGGUGAAGAACUAAACACGGUGAUCAAUGAAGCUCCUGCGGAAUGUGCUGUGUGUCUAAGUGACGUUCAAGAAGGCGAAGAAAUCAGAGAGCUGAGAUGUGGGCAUAUCUUUCAUAGAGCAUGCUUAUACAGAUGGCUUGACUUCCGGCAAUCGACUUGCCCACUUUGCCGAGGAAGUCUUACUCCCCGGAGAACAUUGAUCCUUGAUCAGCACCGAACAGAAGUAUUGACGUUCAAGUUCUGUUCUUUCACAUCCACCGAUGAACGUGAUACAUGGUGGCUACGAUGAAUCAAGUCUUCAAGAUUUUAGUACCUCGUCAGGAGAAAGCACAACGGAGUAACUACCUUCUUCCCCGUCCUUCAGAAUAUCAUGGCAUGUUCGUUAACGAGUUGCUAUUGAUGCAAACUUCUCAAGCAUGAAGUGAUCGUUAAUUCCUGAGCAUGGGACAGACUAAUUAAGCUGAAGGUUCAUUGUUAGAAUAUAACGUUUUUUUUUCCUUCCUAUAUUGCAUCAUCUGCUAAUUUACCUGAAAGGGUGAAGCCAUCUCCCUCUCGGAAUCUCUAAUAACAGUCCUGCAAUGCCAUGCAUGUUGUCUCUUAGCCAUUCUUGUAAUAAACUUGAUGUUUGGUAAGUGUUGUUUUAGUUAAUUUUGGUGAAUCUUUCAAAAUCUCGCUAAGAUCCAAGCAUAAUACAGGAGAGAGUUGAAUGGAAAGACGAUGUUGAGAUUUUUGUUUCAUUACUGGGAUGGAUAAGUUAGUUUGUCCACUACCAUAAACAAAAAAUCAUUAUUUUUCAGUUUUCUAUAUUACAUAUUAUUUAUUUAUCACUUAUAUAUACAUAUACAUAUAUAUUAAGAUGAUAUUUUUUAUUUUAUUUUUUGAAUUCAUUUUUGACAUUAAAAAACAUAAAAAAUUAAUUUUAAAUAAUAAAAAAAAUGAUUUUUAGUAAAUCUUUAUCUGGACGGCACUCCAGAGCUAAGAAUCUAACUUCUAAAGCAAAGAAAAGUAUAUCCAUUAAAAACAAAGUUAAUAUUAACUUUACAAAGCAACUGACAGAAGUUUUCUUGAUCAAUCGAUAGAAUGAACCCAAACACCCCCAGCCCAACAGAAGAGGGCCACGCCCAAUAACCAACCCUGGGGUGAUCGAACCUGCCAUGCUAUGAGUAAAACAGAGAAGCAGCUGAUAAAGUUGACCGGUGACUCAAUACUUUCCCUGAAUCUAACCCCGGCUCAGAUUUAAAACUUAUGCUUCUACCCCUUGCUCCGUGCAGAAGAUCCGCCUUUAAGAGACAGGGAAGGGAGAAGCCUCCUUUGAUAUUUUCAUGGACAGUCAAGUCCGUACGGUUUUUAAAAGUAUUCGGCCUAGGCCACGCGACUCACAUGAAUUUCUCUUUGUUUUUUCAGCUCUCCAUUCAUUUGUUAUCUAUUUAUUUGUGGCUCAGAACAAGUUUCCUGUCUCAUCGCAAAUAAAUUUUUGAUAAGUCCUUUUUAAUUUUUUUCUCGAUAAACUUGAACUAAAUGUUUAAACUCGUUUCGAAAAAAACCAUCAGAGAAAACAGCAGAACCUCUAUUUCAAGGGUCGAUAUUUCUUCCAGAAAAUCUUUUAUCAGUCAAUGGCUUUUAAAUGACAUUAUUUACACCAUAACUUCUCGUUUGAACGGUAAUAUAUAUGGAUUAACAAUUUUAUAAUUAUUAUAGCAAGCAUGUGGGCAUCUAUAAUUGCUAAAAUAAAUUUAAGGAGCUGUCAAGUUACCUCAGUAACUUAUGUGCCAGUUAAGUAAAUCAUUUGAUUGUUUGAGCCAAAAAAUACAUUAUCAACCAUGCGUGACAUGCAUCUAGCUUCGACAGGUAAUGAUAAUAUUGAUGGAUGCUAACCAUUUAGCAGGUGGUUCAAUGACAAGAGCUUGAGAUGAAGGGGUUUGCUUCCCCUAUGAUCUCAGGUUCGAGUCCUGAGGUUCCUAAUAUUAAUGGCCACUAAAAACUUAUCUAAUCGUUAACUUCAGGAUCCGUAGAGAUUAGUCGAGAUGCACAUAAGCUGAUACAAACAUCCCACUUGAAUAAAAAUAUAUAUAUUGAUGGAUGCUGGAUUAAUAAGUGUUUUAUUAGUAAUAUUAUGUAAACAAUUUUUUUUUGUAUAAGAUCUUCAUAUAAACAUAUGUAAUCUUUAUUUUGUGUGAGUUAUCAUUACUCUAUUAUUUAUAAAAUUCAUAUUUUAUUACUCAUUAAUUAACACAGAGUUUAUAUAAAUUUUGGAAAGGAAAAUUAUUGUUCCCUGUCCCAUCUAGCGCGCGGAACACGCCGUGAAAGCUCCCUGACCUGUGAUAAGGAUGCAAGAUAUAGGGGACCACGGCUAGUUUCCCUGCUCAUUUACGAGGCUCCAAUAAUUUCUUUCGCCGAGAAAAAAAAAAGUCGGUCGUCGAAUUGAUGAGAGACAAGUUCUACCUGUGAUGCACAUUAAUUUCAUGAAAGUGAGUCUCUUACGAAUAAUUCAGGCUCACGAAUAAAAUACUUUCAAAAUACAAAAACAAACAAUCUCUCUUCUCUUCCUCUAUGUUUAUUUAUUUUUGGCGUCUUCCUGAACGUAGAGCAACUGUGCAACACAAAAUCUGAUUAUCUUUGCGAUUCCCACUCCUUGUAGAAGCAUGAAUUUAAAUUCCUAAACACUAAAAAAUCUAAAAUAAAAGUGUAUCACAACAACACUUGAAGCAUUAUUAUUUUACUCUCUUUUUUUUAUUGGAUAAUAAGAUAUUUUUGAGCUUGUGUAUGAAUUGAAACUAUAUUUUUGAGAGACGAAACACGUGAAACACGAAGAAACGCAAGCCAUUUAUUACUCCCAGGAAACAAUCGGAUUAUAAACAUGGCAUGUGUGAAACACGUUCAAACAGGAGCCCACCUUGAAAAGAAAAGGUACUAUUAUAAUUUACAGUGUAAUGGAUAUGGGUAAAUAAUAAUAUAAUGUUCCGAGUAUUAAAGAGUUUUAUGUGGAAUUAAGGAAUUUUAAUUUGAAUCUUUAUACUUGUAAAUGCAUGUCCAAGUUAUGUAAACUUAAGUAAAUAUAAUCCUUGUGAAAAUAAAUCUACUCUUCUUUUUAAUUAAGGUGAAGAGUCUUGUUGUCCACUUUAUUUGAAGCCACAAUUCAAAUAAUUAAUCAAAUACCAUUAAAAUCUUUCACUUUUACAGGACUCAUGUCCACUUUAUUCGAAGUCACAAUUCCGACUAUUUUUCACUUUUACAGGAAUCAACAAAACAGCAGAGGAAAUCUUUCACUUUUACAGAAGUCACAGUUAUCUUUUAUUGUUUUGUGACUUCUGCAAACAGAAAAGAUUUCCUCUGUUAUUUGAACAGCACAAGAAAAAUAUUCGGAAUUGUGACUUCAAAUAAAGGUUUGUCUUUGUGGGUUCUUAUAGUGGCAGAAGCAUGUGUGUCUGUCAUGCUUAUGGUUAACCAUUGAUUUCAAGUAUUUUAAAGAGAAAAACCAUCUACGAUCUCUGCUGCUUUGUUGUUUCCUCUGUAUUGGACCUGCGGCUCCAUGGUUUCUUGAUUCCCUGUUUCUGUUUCCUCUGUAUGCUCCAUGGUUUCUUGAUUCCCUGUUUCUGUUUCCUCUGUAUGCUCCAUGGUUUCUUGAUUCCCUGUUUCUGUUUCCUCUGUAUUGGACCUGCGGCUCCAUGGUCACAAUUCCGACUAUAAGAACCCACAAAGACAAACCUUUCUCUUUUUAUUUUUAUUUUGCACUCACAACACAAGAAAAAUAGUCGGAAUUGUGACUUCAAAGAAAGUGGACAAGACUCCGGUAAAAGUGAAAGAUUUUAAUGGUAUUUGAUUUAUUAAUUGAAUUGUGACCAGUGGCGGAGCCACAGAGGGACAAAAGGGGGCAAUUGCCCCCUUAACUUUUAUUUAUUUAUUAAAAUAUUAAUAUAUUAGUUUAGAGAAUUUAUUGUUACUGAGGGAAGGAAAAAGGAAAGUUGAUAUUGUUUAUAAUUGUUGACUUAUAUAUUAAUAUAAUAUAAUAUAUAUACAUAGCUUAUUCCACGGAAGUUUUUCCUUUUUCCUUUUUAUUUCUAUAUUAAAUCAUUAGUACCGGCUUAAAAUUAUAGAAUCAAAUUAUAGAAUCCCUGACUAACAGAGUAUUUUUUUGUUCCUGCCUAUCUUUUCAUGAGCUGUUGUGUUUGCUUUACUCUUUUCAGCUGUUGUUCUCUGCCUUUCUGAUAUGUAAAUUUCUCAUAAAAUAUAAUUAAGUAAUUAAUUUUUUUUUGUUUUUUGUUUUGUAUUUUAGCUAAAUUUUCUUUAUUUUUUUUAUUUCAUUGUUUAAUUUUAAUAUUAUUAUUUUAUAAUUAAUUAUUAAAAAUAUUAGGGUUUAUGAUAAUUUAGGGGUUUUGAUAUGAAUAUGUUCCAAUAUAUUCAAAAUAAAUAUUUAAAUCUACUAAUUUAAUCAAUUAAAUGUUUCUUUUCUUAUUAUAAAGGAAUAAAUUAAUAUUCAUGCAAAACCACUAUUAUUGACAUAUCUUGCAUUGGUAGAGUAGUUUAUUGAAAUUUAAUAUUUUCAUAUGACUUGUUUGUAAGUAAAAUAUCAAGUAGAAAGCAUGUUUUUCAAAAAUUGUUCCUCUUGCACAUACACGAGGCAUUGCUCCUCAAUUAAAUAUCUAGAAAUGAUUAAGUAUAAUUUAAUCAAUAUACUUAUUAUAUGCAUAUAGAUAUGAAUUGAAAUAGGUUUUGAUUUUGAUGAAUUGAUGUGUAUUUUGCUAUGAAUUUCAUAUAGAAGAUUUAGAAUUAUUGUGUAACUCAACUGAUUUUUAUUUAACAGUGAAUUAUUGUGUAGUUUGUUAAUUAUUAUGUAGACACUAAUGAUGAUAAAAAAUCUAGCAGGUUCAUAUUAAAUUAACAUGUCACUAGACAAGUAUUUCAAGCGUAAAUCCCUUGAGGAUGAAGAAUCAAUCAAAGCUUCAAGUCAUGUAACUCAAUCAAGUUCAAAGAAAAGUCAUAUUGAAAUAGGAUGGGAGAUAAGUGGAUGAAUAAUAGUUUGGUUGUAUACAUUGAGAAAGAUAACUUCGAUAAGAUUGAUAAUGAAGCUAUUAUGAAGCGGUUUCAAAAUAUAAAAACUCGAAGAGAACAAUUAUAAUGUAAGUUUUUUUAGUUUAAAAGUAUUUUUAAAUUAAUUUUACUUGAUAUGAAUUAGUAUAUAUGUUUCGAAUUGAUUUAUAAUGUAUAUCUAUAUAAUAUAUUAUUUGUUAAUAAUUUGUCCCCUCAUUAAAAAAACUCUGGCUCCGCCACUGAUUGUGACUUCAAAUAAAGUGGAUUUGAGGAAGGUUAUUUUAGAAAAGAUUUGAAUUGUGAUUAAUUAAUUGAAUUGUGACUUCAACAGUUAACCUUUUUUUUUUUCCACUCCCGGUGUAUUACUUUUGUUUUCCUGCAAUAUUUUUUUUUCUUUUUUUCCCAAAAUUAUAUCUAUACAUUAACUUUUUUAAUGCUGAGCUGGUUAAAAAUUUCGCUUUGUAAUUUUUUUUCUUUAGAAUACUGUAAAUUACUACGGUGUUUUUCCAUAUGGUUUUUCUAUUUUAUUUUUUUUAUUUUUUAAAAUUAUAUUUAUCGAUUUUAUUUUUUUAAUAUUGAGCUGAUUGAGAAUUUAGUUUUGUAAUUUUUUUUCUUUAAAAUAUUGUUGAUUGCUACAACGUUUCUCCAUAUAGUUUUUUUUUGUUUUUGUUUUUUUAUAAUUUUCUCCAAAAUUAUCUUUUCGAUUUUAUUUUUUAAUAUUGAGCUGGUUAAGAAUUACAGUUACAAUAUGUGAAGAAAACACUAUAGUUUAUUGGGAAAAACACUGUAGUUUCCCUCACAAAAUAUUGUCAAUUGCUACAAUGUUUUUUCUCAUGAGUUUUUUUCAUUCUAGAAUUAUUUUUUUCAAUUUUUUUUAAAUAUUAAGUUGGUUGAGAAUUUAGCUUUAUAAUAUUUUUUCUUUUUAUUAACAGAAAAACUAAAUCAUAUGGUAAAAGCAUUAUAUCUUUCCUCACAAAAUACUGUGGAUUGCUACAAAUUAUUUUGUUCAGUCUCUAAGUUUUUUUAUCACCAACACAACAUUGUUUUUUCAUCAUGAAAUGUUGGCUCCACCAUACUUUUAGUUUCUAUUAUUUAUCUAACGCUGGUUCACAAUCAUAACACUAUCAAGUAUAUUUAUUUUAUAAGUCCGCGACAGUGCGCGAGCAUGCCAAUAACUUAUUCCUAGUACUUUAAUGGAGUUACUUGAUUACUCCUCAUGGAUUAAAAAACUAUUAUGUAGCUAAUGUCUAUAUUUUUAAACUCAUUAAUAACUAAAUCUAAUUCUUUAUUAUUUCUCACCUUAUUUUUUAAAAAAACAUAAAUAAUAAAAAAUAGAUGAGAUUGGAAAACUUGGAUUGAGAUCUAAUUAAGAAUAUGAUAGAUUUAUGUUUCGAGAACUCAAACUCUUGAAUUCAAAUUAAUGGUUGAAUUUUGAAUUGUGCAAGAAUCAUAGGUAGUAUUUUUGAACGUGCAUCAAUUAUAGGUAGCUUUUCAAAAAAUAUAAUUGGCAAAUUAUUUGAUUUAAAGAUAAGAUCUAAUUGUUGAUUUGUAUUUCACAGUGCAUCAUAUUCUAAGAGUGAGAGGAUUCAAUUUCAUAAAAUUUUGUUUGUAGAUAUUAAUAUACUUUUGGUUGAAAAAAAACUAGUAUUAUAGAAAGACAAAUAUUGGUCAAAAAGACUAUUACAAAAUCAUCAAUAUUAGUCAAAGUGGUACUUAAUCAAGACUAAUUAGAUUGGUGUUUGAAGUACACCGUUUGGGUUAAUUUUUUACUAAUAUAAAAAAAAUUUCUACACCAAACCCCUUAAAUUUAAUGAUAUUAUAAAAAAAAUUCUUGAUAUUCCUAAUACUUUUCUUAAGUUUAAAAAACAUAAUCCUACGCACGGCAGAAUUUACUAGUACCCAACUAAGACGCGUCCCCUAAUUUAUUGUAUUCUUUCUGUUCACCACUUCGGCAGAACUUUAAUACUGUUGACUGUAACCUUCGAAUCUUGAAAAUUCCAACAAAACAUCCCCUCUAGCUCACCUCACGUUAAAGGGGACUUGGAAAGGACAAACCUACCUACCAGGCCUCGACGUCGUCACUGAGUACCUUGAAAUUCAACUGCCGCAACUGCCAGCAGAGCCAGUUUCUUCGAUGUAAAAGAAAAUGAGAAGGUUUGAUUAUAUUAUAGUAGAAUUGUGAACGUUAAAUAUUAAAAGAUCCUCAUAUGUAUUAAAUAGGUAGGUUAUUAACUUUCUUUUGCCCGAUAUAAUUGAUGUAAUACAAGAUAUUGUUUGUCUGAUAAUAUAAUUGUAAUUGUUUUUUAAAAUGUUUUUUAUUUAGAAAUAUAUUAAAAUAAUAUAUUUUUAUUUUUUAAAAAUUAUUUUUGAUAUCCACGCAUCAAAAUAAUUUAAAAACACAAUAAAAUAUUAAUUUAAAAAAAAAUUUAAAAUGUUUUCAAAAAUAUAUUUAAAACUAAAAAAGAAACAGGACUUAUAAUCCUGACUACAUAAAAGUUGACUAGUUUUCAGCUGUCCAGAAAAAAAGCAACAUGCUUUCGUACUCAAGGCCAAGCAUUCAACUUUCCCAAAAUAAUCUUCCAUGCACGUUUCAGGAAAUUUAAGAGAUCGUGUAGAAGAAACUUCGUUUUUCAAAAAAAAAAAACCGACCACCUCAUUCACUGUUGCUAUAUGUGAAGUCUAUAAAGGUCACCCAUUGCCCCCAUCUAUUUUGAUACAGAACCAUUUCCUCCUUGUUCAUCUCUCCCAACUCCUUUUCUAGCUCAUUUUUGUUUUUGCGACAAAAUUAACCUCUAAACUCAACCAAUCAUGUUCAUCAAAUACUUAAAUCUUAUUAGUGCCCAUCUCAGAUGGGCAUUUAAUUUCUUGUGUUACUAUCCGUUCAGCUUCCAAGAACACGAAUUGUUUGCUGUGACUGCAAUUGGUGAAGAACUAAACACGGUGAUCAAUGAAGCUCCUGCGGAAUGUGCUGUGUGUCUAAGUGACGUUCAAGAAGGCGAAGAAAUCAGAGAGCUGAGAUGUGGGCAUAUCUUUCAUAGAGCAUGCUUAUACAGAUGGCUUGACUUCCGGCAAUCGACUUGCCCACUUUGCCGAGGAAGUCUUGCUCCCCGGAGAACAUUGAUCCUUGAUCAGCACCGAACAGAAGUAUUGACGUUCAAGUUCUGUUCUUUCACAUCCACCGAUGAACGUGAUACAUGGUGGCUACGAUGAAUCAAGUCUUCAAGAUUUUAGUAAGUACCUCGUCAGGAGAAAGCACAACGGAGUACGUAACUACCUUCUCCCCCCUCCUUGAGAAUAUCAUGGCAUGUUCGUUAACGAGUUGCUAUUGAUGCAAACUUCUCAAGCAUGAAGUGAUCGUUAAUUCCUGAGCAUGUGACAGACUAAUUAAGCUGAAGGUUCAUUGUUAGAAUAUAUAUAAGGUUUUUUUUUCCUUCCUAUAUUGCAUCAUCUGCUAAUUUACCUGAAAGGGUGAAGCCAUCUCCCUCUCGGAAUCUCUAAUAACAGUCCUGCAAUGCCAUGCAUGUUGUCUCUUAGCCAUGCUUGUAAUAAACUUGAUGUUUGGUAAGUGUUGUUUUAGUUAAUUUUGGUGAAUCUUUCAAAAUCUCGCUAAGAUCCAAGAAUAAUACAGGAGAGAGUUGAAUGGAAAGACGAUGUUGAGAUUUUUGUUUCAUUACUGGGAUGGAUAAGUUAGUUUGUCCACUACCAUAAACAAAAAAUCAUUAUUUUUC
RNAcentral lists this long non-coding RNA (9160 nucleotides) under Populus trichocarpa (black cottonwood). Its description in RNAcentral is "long non-coding RNA (PTRI_LNC002547)". Lineage: Eukaryota; Viridiplantae; Streptophyta; Magnoliopsida; Malpighiales; Salicaceae. The record is from RNAcentral.